AGUAUUGUCUGCUGUUUUCAUAGCUUCAUUAUACUUUCUGGCCGCCUGGUCGUUUGUCGAUAUUCGAUUAGUGAAAAAUCAUGUUUAAAUAAUUUCGGCUGGUUGCUUAAUCGAUCGCUCGGAGGAAAACUUUACAAAACUGCUUGGCUAAUCAGGCGAUCAGAAAUGCUCGUAGAUAGCAUUCAGCUUAGAUAGCGGUGAUUUCUAGAGAGGACUUCUACCAAGGAGCUCUAUUUAAAGUACGACUUGCAUACACUUUCUGAUCGCCUGUUUACAAAGCCCAGAAACAGCAGUUUAGGACUUUUUGGACGCUUUUCUCUUAUCUUUUUGCCCAUAUAAUGCCAGCAGUUCUCAACUGGAUUGAGAUGUGGACUGUUUUCUGGCCCCGUGAGAAACUCAAUUCCAUAAAAUUUUUUUCGGUUUGUAACCUUUACCGUUUUGGCUCUAUGGCAAGAGGGUAAACCAUCCUGAAAAUAAACACCAAACUUGUUUAUAACUCCCAUACCAUUAAAUAGGUCGAAUGCUUUACGGUGGGUAAAACACAGCUUUCCUAAAAACGCUCACAACGUGUAGUUUUUCUAUCCCAGUUGUUUCGUUAAAUAUUGAAUUGGUUGUUCCAGCAUGUUGAAGGCGGUCAGUAAUGCACAUCCGUUUAAUUUGUCAUUCAUGACGAGAUUUUACUUUUUUCGGACGCCCACUGCCCUUUUUUUAUUUAGAAAAUUAAAAUUCGUAUAAUUAUUAAUAAUAUUGCGUUCACUCCAAUCACUUAUGGCUAUUUCACGAGCUAUAUGCCGUUUGGAUAAUGUAUUUUUAAAUAUAGCGAUGAUUUCUGCUUUAUUUUCUAUUGACAACAUAAUGUUCAACUUUACUUAUUUUUUCAACUGACUCAAAGGAAAUUACCGCAAGUACUAAAAUAAACACGUGCAGAAACUAACGGUUUUAGAAAUAACGGUAAACCAAUGUAGUUACAUAAUAAAAAAGUCAAAUCAGACAAAGCGCGUAUUUUGAGCGAAUAGUAACAGUUUAAAAAUGGAAUAUUAGAAAAUUUUUGACCGCGUGGGUUUUUUUUUUUUGCUGAGUGUAUAUAAAUAAUUAGGAUGCCAGAUGACGGUCGAAAUCCAACCACAAGCCCUCUAGAUACCAAAUAUUUCGCUCAAUCAUCUAGUAAUCUCUUCGUGAUAAUUAUAUACCAUUGUGUCAAAAAUGGCUGAAGUCUGGUCAAUAGUUCCCAUAGUACACAUACACCUAAUAUAAAAAUUUCAGGACUUCUCGUUGUCUUUAUAUCGUAUACAUACAUACAUAUAUCGGUCAAUAUGUGAGCUAUAUUUCCCGGGCUUUGAUCCUAGCAAAUUUCGAGAGUAUAAAAUGUUCGACUACACUUGUACUUGGCCUUUUCUUACUACUUUCAAAGUAUUCUUUUGUACUCAUAUUUUAUUGCCAUUUUAUUUAAAUAUUGUGUGAUUUAAUUUUUAAUAAAUAUUUUUUCUUGAUUUAUAACUGUUAUCUUGUUUUUUUUUUUUAUAUAUUUUGAAUUAGUCAGAGCUUUUUAGCUCCUAG
Non-coding RNA from Bactrocera oleae (olive fruit fly), 1557 nucleotides. The record is from RefSeq and is a predicted model, not a curated record. Lineage: Eukaryota; Metazoa; Arthropoda; Insecta; Diptera; Tephritidae.